RNAcentral lists this unclassified non-coding RNA (358 nucleotides) under soil metagenome. Its description in RNAcentral is "partial contains 5.8S ribosomal RNA, internal transcribed spacer 2, and large subunit ribosomal RNA". The stretch from base 1 to 120 matches the Rfam family "5.8S ribosomal RNA", at positions 35 to 154 of the family's 154-position model. The record is from RNAcentral.
GAUGAAGAACGUAGCGAAAUGCGAUAAGUAAUGUGAAUUGCAGAAUUCAGUGAAUCAUCGAAUCUUUGAACGCACAUUGCGCCCGUCAGUAUUCUGGCGGGCAUGCCUGUUCGAGCGUCAUUACGCCCCUCAAGUCCCCUGUGGACUUGGUGUUGGGGAUCGGCGAGGCUGGUUUUCCAGCCCAGCCGUCCCUUAAAUUAAUUGGCGGUCUCGCCGUGGCCCUCCUCUGCGCAGUAGUAAAACACUCGCAACAGGAGCCCGGCGCGGUCCACUGCCGUAAAACCCCCCAACUUUUUAUAGUUGACCUCGAAUCAGGUAGGACUACCCGCUGAACUUAAGCAUAUCAAUAAGCGGAGGA